This 469-nucleotide ribosomal RNA is filed under the name uncultured bacterium. RNAcentral describes it as "partial 16S ribosomal RNA". It matches the Rfam family "Bacterial small subunit ribosomal RNA", at positions 28 to 508 of the family's 1533-position model. The record is from RNAcentral.
GACGAACGCUGGCGGCGUGCUUAACACAUGCAAGUCGAACGGAAAGGCCCUGCUUUUGUGGGGUGCUCGAGUGGCGAACGGGUGAGUAACACGUGAGUAACCUGCCCUUGACUUUGGGAUAACUUCAGGAAACUGGGGCUAAUACCGGAUAGGAGCUCCUGCUGCAUGGUGGGGGUUGGAAAGUUUCGGCGGUUGGGGAUGGACUCGCGGCUUAUCAGCUUGUUGGUGGGGUAGUGGCUUACCAAGGCUUUGACGGGUAGCCGGCCUGAGAGGGUGACCGGCCACAUUGGGACUGAGAUACGGCCCAGACUCCUACGGGAGGCAGCAGUGGGGAAUAUUGCACAAUGGGCGGAAGCCUGAUGCAGCAACGCCGCGUGCGGGAUGACGGCCUUCGGGUUGUAAGCCGCUUUCGCCUGUGACGAAGCGUGAGUGACGGUAAUGGGUAAAGAAGCACCGGCUAACUACGUGC